Canis lupus familiaris (dog) is the source of this 1168-nucleotide long non-coding RNA. RefSeq lists it as uncharacterized. NCBI's taxonomy places the organism in Eukaryota, Metazoa, Chordata, Mammalia, Carnivora, Canidae. The record is from RefSeq and is a predicted model, not a curated record. The transcript is spliced from 5 exons.
AUGUAUAUGUAUAUGGGGUUAUCCGCAGCGGGCUUCCAGAGGCUCCCCAGCUAAAGAUGAAAGGAGACAACUUCCCUGCCCAAGCCUGUCUUGGUGUCCUCCCAACCUGAUACAUGACAUGAAGCCCAUCCCCAGGUCCUGGACCCAGGGAACCAGGCAAGAUUUGAUGCCAGCAGGGAAGAGGGGACCCCUCCACCACCCGGAUAUGGGAAAGUUGCUCCAGCUGCCAGGCCAGGCCAUUCUGGAAACUGCAAGUUAAACACCAACCAGGAAGGGCUGCUCCGGCCUUAACCCUCCCCUUCCCGGCACAGGCCCAGGCCUCAGGCCAAUGGGGCCGCAGAUCUCCGGCCUGGACUCUCAGGAGCCCUGGGGUCGGGUUUGCGGGCUCUUCUCAGCCUGGAGAUCAAGGAACAAAAAUUGUAUUUACGCUCCUGGCAAGCAGCUGAUUUUCCUGAUCGCCCACCCGGCUGCACACGGCUCCACAGCGUCGGGUGGGGAGCGACUCCUUGUCCCUGAGACUGUGAACCGCAGAGAGAGGCCGUCUGGGGCCGGGAACCCCCUGCCCCCCACAAGCCCUCCUGGCCUCCCUCCGGCCUCCUGUCCCUGCUUCUCUCCCGUCACUUGCUCUUCCCGGCACCGGGUCUCCAGUGUCUUUGCCUGCCCUGUCCCCACCGACUCCUGGCGUGCCCCCCGGGAGGCCACUUAGCGGUACAGACAAGCUCACUGCCCGAGCCCUGGGUCAGCCCUGACCUGCAGCAGCAGAGGAUGAUGGCUCCAGCCCCACCCCUGGGACUCCUCACCGAUUCCUGAACCAUAAGCUUCAUCUGCUGGGCCAGACAUCUUGUAUUUGCUAUCACCGCUCUCCCCCGCCCCCCAACCCAGCCCUCCCUGCAUUCAGCAGGUGCUCACUGAGCUCCUGCCCUGCAUCUGACAAUGCUCCGGCAUCUGGGAUACAGCAGAAAACAAAGCAGACAAAGUCGCUGCCUUCUUGCUGCUGAUAUUUCCUCGAAAGAGACAGACGAGAGGCACCUGGGUGGCUCAGUUAGUUAAGCAUCUGCCUUUGUCUCAGGUUAUGAUCCCAGGGUCCUGGGAUUGAACCCCUCAUAGGGCACCCUGCUCAGCAAGGAGCUGGCUUCUCCCUCUCUCUCUGCUACUCCCCUGGCUUAUU